AGAGAGAGACAUGCGCGCAUAUCAAUAAGCGGAGGAAAAGAAACUAACUAGGAUUCCCUCAGUAACGGCGAGUGAAGCGGGAAGAGCUCAAAUUUGAAAUCUUCAAGGUUUUACCUUGACGAAUUGUAGUUUAAAGAAGUGUUUUCUGUUGGAGUUUUGGUAAAAGUUCUUUGGAAUAGGACAUCAUAGAGGGUGAGAAUCCCGUAUUUGACCAUUAUUUCCAACUUUGUGAUACACUUUCAAAGAGUCGGAUUGUUUGGGAAUGCAGUCCAAAAUGGGUGGUAAAUUUCAUCUAAAGCUAAAUACUGGCGAGAGACCGAUAGCGAACAAGUACCGUGAGGGAAAGAUGAAAAGAACUUUGAAAAGAGAGUUAAACAGUACGUGAAAUUGUCAAAAGGGAAGCGUUUGACACCAGUGUUGUUUAGUUGAAAAUCAAUUAAAUAGUUUUCGAUUUUAAGUAGUAUUGACCUUAUCAGCUUGCUGCUUUCUUCUCGGAAAUUAUUUAAUGCACUUUUCAGUUAACAAGUCAACAUCAAUUUCUUUUGUUGUAAAAGAGUCAUUGGAAGGUGGCUUUCUUUUCGGAGAAAGUGUUUAUAGCCUUUGAUCUCUGCAACCGGAGAGACUGAGGUCUGCAGCGUAGACUCUUCGGGGUUAGAUACAUUUGUGCUAAGCUAUAGCUUUUUAUAGACAACUUGUUGACUAUAUUUAGUCUUGUGGCUUACUCGCUUAUGCUAUUUUACCUACGCUUAGGAGUUGACAGCAGUAUAGACUGU
RNAcentral lists this ribosomal RNA (773 nucleotides) under uncultured Neocallimastigales. RNAcentral describes it as "partial large subunit ribosomal RNA". It matches the Rfam family "Eukaryotic large subunit ribosomal RNA", at positions 23 to 638 of the family's 3401-position model. Lineage: Eukaryota; Fungi; Neocallimastigomycota; Neocallimastigomycetes; Neocallimastigales. The record is from RNAcentral.